UACGUAGGGGGCAAGCGUUGUCCGGAUUUACUGGGCGUAAAGCGCGUGUAGGCGGUUUGCCAAGUCCGGGGUGAAAGGCGGGGGCUCAACCCCCGAACUGCGCUGGAAACUGGCAGACUUGAGUGUCGGAGAGGGGAGUGGAAUUCUCGGUGUAGCGGUGAAAUGCGUAGAGAUCGAGAGGAACACCCGUGGCGAAGGCGGCUCCCUGGCCGAACACUGACGCUGAGACGCGAAAGCGCGGGGAGCGAACGGG
Molecule: ribosomal RNA, 253 nt
Filed under: uncultured bacterium
Lineage: Bacteria
Description: partial 16S ribosomal RNA
Rfam family: Bacterial small subunit ribosomal RNA
Source: RNAcentral